This 408-nucleotide ribosomal RNA is filed under the name uncultured bacterium. Its description in RNAcentral is "partial 16S ribosomal RNA". It matches the Rfam family "Bacterial small subunit ribosomal RNA", at positions 28 to 526 of the family's 1533-position model. The record is from RNAcentral.
GACGAACGCUGGCGGCGUGCUUAACACAUGCAAGUCGAACGAAGUGGCGAACGGGUGAGUAACGCGUAAUCAACCUGCCCUUCAGAGGGGGACAACAGUUGGAAACGACUGCUAAUACCGCAUACUUAAGGAGGGGAUUGCGGCUGAUUAGCUAGUUGGGGGGGAAAAGGCCCACCAAGGCGCGGAUCAGUAGCCGGUCUGAGAGGAUGAACGGCCAAGUUGAGACGGAGACACGGCCCAGACGCCUACGGUAGGCAGCAGUGGGGAAUCUUCCGCAAUGGACGAAAGUCUGACGGAGCAACGCCGCGUGAGUGAUGACGGCCUUCGGGUUGUAAAGCUCUGUUAAUCGGGACGCGGUACCGGAAUAGAAAGCCACGGCUAACUACGUGCCAGCAGCCGCGGUAAUAC